RNAcentral lists this ribosomal RNA (465 nucleotides) under Vreelandella stevensii. RNAcentral's name for it is "partial 16S ribosomal RNA". It matches the Rfam family "Bacterial small subunit ribosomal RNA", at positions 338 to 795 of the family's 1533-position model. The record is from RNAcentral. Lineage: Bacteria; Pseudomonadati; Pseudomonadota; Gammaproteobacteria; Oceanospirillales; Halomonadaceae.
CCUACGGGGCGCAGCAGUGGGGAAUAUUGGACAAUGGGCGAAAGCCUGAUCCAGCCAUGCCGCGUGUGUGAAGAAGGCCUUCGGGUUGUAAAGCACUUUCAGUGGGGAAGAAAGCCUUGGGGCUAAUACCCUCGAGGAAGGACAUCACCCACAGAAGAAGCACCGGCUAACUCCGUGCCAGCAGCCGCGGUAAUACGGAGGGUGCGAGCGUUAAUCGGAAUUACUGGGCGUAAAGCGCGCGUAGGCGGUCUGAUAAGCCGGUUGUGAAAGCCCCGGGCUCAACCUGGGAACGGCAUCCGGAACUGUCAGGCUAGAGUGCAGGAGAGGAAGGUAGAAUUCCCGGUGUAGCGGUGAAAUGCGUAGAGAUCGGGAGGAAUACCAGUGGCGAAGGCGGUCUUCUGGACUGACACUGACGCUGAGGUGCGAAAGCGUGGGUAGCAAACAGGAUUAGAUACCCCAGUAGUC